UGGGGAAUAUUGCACAAUGGAGGGAACUCUGAUGCAGCGACGCCGCGUGAGUGAUGAAGGAAUUCGUUUCGUAAAACUCUGUUCUAUGGGAAGAAAAGGACUGUACCAUAGGAGAAAGCUCCGGCUAAAUACGUGCCAGCAGCCGCGGUAAUACGUAUGGAGCGAGCGUUGUCCGGAAUUAUUGGGCGUAAAGGGUGCGCAGGCGGCUUUACAAGUUGGAUGUGAAAUAUUGUGGCUCAACCACAAACGUGCAUCCAAAACUGUAAAGCUUGAGUUAAGGAGAGGUAAGUGGAAUUCCUGGUGUAGCGGUGGAAUGCGUAGAUAUCAGGAGGAAUACCGGUGGCGAAGGCGACUUACUGGACUUAAGCUGACGCUCAGGCACGAAAGCGUGGGGAGCAAACAGG
Molecule: ribosomal RNA, 404 nt
Filed under: Fusobacteriota bacterium
Lineage: Bacteria; Fusobacteriati; Fusobacteriota
Description: Fusobacteria bacterium partial 16S ribosomal RNA
Rfam family: Bacterial small subunit ribosomal RNA
Source: RNAcentral